Molecule: non-coding RNA, 28 nt
Filed under: Rattus norvegicus (Norway rat)
Lineage: Eukaryota; Metazoa; Chordata; Mammalia; Rodentia; Muridae
Source: RNAcentral
UAUUAGUCUGCAUCCGAGAAAUAUUAAA